RNAcentral lists this ribosomal RNA (253 nucleotides) under uncultured bacterium. RNAcentral's name for it is "partial 16S ribosomal RNA". It matches the Rfam family "Bacterial small subunit ribosomal RNA", at positions 524 to 776 of the family's 1533-position model. The record is from RNAcentral.
UACGGGGGGGGCAAGCGUUGUUCGGAAUUACUGGGCGUAAAGGGUUCGUAGGUGGCGCUGUAAGUCGGGUGUGAAAUUUCGGAGCUUAACUCCGAAACUGCAUUCGAUACUGCGGUGCUUGAGGACUGGAGAGGAGACUGGAAUUCAUGGUGUAGCAGUGAAAUGCGUAGAGAUCAUGAGGAAGACCAGUGGCGAAGGCGGGUCUCUGGACAGUUCCUGACACUGAGGCACGAAGGCCAGGGGAGCAAACGGG